AAAAUUUGUGCCGGUACGUUCGCGUGCACGGCAGGUACAGAUACUUUGCUUCGUACAUUGGUCGGUUCUUUUGCGCUAACACCAGUUUAUUGCGCUUCGAUAUCUCGCGUUAUUUAACUUGGGGUGUAAGCCCGAAAGCUAGGUUUCAGUCGUGAGCCAUGUGGAACGCGUCUGCAUCGAAAUGGGAGCCGGGUCCUGCUGCGACUGGGGACAGCAAUACCGACAUGCAGUAAUGAGGAUGGCACCAGUAUAAAGCAACACACUCCAUGCACUAAAUAGAAGCUGCUGUCUGCUACAACAAGGUCAUUGUGUGGACUUUGGCUGCUACUACAAGAGUAUGUGCCAAGUACAUCUUGGUCAUCACGGGAGCCCCCAUCUACACCAACAGGAAGGGGCUGGAGCUGAAUUCGCAAGACCACGAACAAAGAAGCCAUUCCAGAAUUAUUUGGAUGAGAUAUCAAGUCUACGGACGACUGUUUUAAGAGUGAAAAGAGCCUACGCCAUCAUUCCACCAGCACGGAUAUUGGCAGAGUCAUCCAGGUACCUCAACAACAAAAAUUCUGUGUCUUCAGUUGGACCUGCAACCUCUGAACAAGCACAGACGACGCUGGCUAAGAGUGUUCUGUCAGCUUCCCCUUCCUUAGUGAGCUUCCUGGCCUGGCCAAUUCGUGCCAAGUAUAACUUUGUUUCAAUGAAUGCAAGCUUUUUCAUUCCACAUUUUUGUUAGAGAUCAUUCCUAUUCCUCAUCCAAACAUUAAAGGUCAAUCGAUUCUUUGCUCAUACUUAAUACCAGUCACUCUCUAGAAGAAUAACAUAUCUGUAGCAGCACUUUCUAGCGUAUGUUGCCAUGUGCAAUUCCUCUCCUGAAAUAGCUGAUGCGGCAUUGGCGGGUGUCUUGCAUUAACCUUUACACUGUGUGCUAUGUAGCAUUUAACUUUUGUUAAUGUUUUUGGCUCUCAGUGGUUUAAAGGUAGGGUGGCUUCUUUCUUGAAUGCAAGCUUUCUCAUUCCCAUAUUGAAUUCCUAGUCUCGUUCAGGAUUUCUAUUCUUGCUCGACAGCCUGUGUUUUUGUGCAAGCUACAUUGAAGUGAUUGAUUGCAGAAUCUGGUUUCGCUGCUGUCUGACUUGGUACUUGUCACCGUGUUACGUUUCUCAUAUGUGGGAGUUUGGUCAGUAGCAUUGGGAAACAGUCUCUCGAGCCAAGCACCUGCUCCUACAGUUUGCACAGUGACAUAGACUGCGAAUUUACACGCACCGUGGUUGGUGCUCCCUGUUCCGUCCUUUCCUGCUGCUGCCAUGUGCAAAUUUUGCUUGUGGCCUUCCUCGGCCAUAAUUUGGCAUCAUAAUUACAUAAUUCUAAGUGUAUGAAGUUGAUAUCCACAUGUGUGGAAAGGCCUGCAAAAGUGGCUGCAAAAUGGUGAUGUCCACAAAACUGACCAUGCCCAUAUAUAGAGAAUGUGGGGGACCAAGUGUGAAUUGCACAUUAGUGGCAUGCAAAAGAACAAAAAGAAACAUGCAGGUUGGAAAGGCGGUAACGCUAAAAUGCCGGGCACUACAUGUCGCUGUGUUGGCUGUGGCAGCAGAUGCUUGCCUCACCCGAUUGCUUUGCAAUGCAAGUUGCUCAUAUUCAACGCCGAUUGUCGUUGCAAACACGUGGGACACACUGUACAAUCUGCUUGCGCUGCUGGUUGUUGCUUGUUGCCAGACUACCGUGUGCGACGAAGGCAAGCACUGUGCCUACAGUCGGACGGUUGAAUGUGCCGCAAGCAACCCGUGUGCAUGUAUGCUCACUGUUGUCAUGUAGAUCGUAGCCAAUGUAGUAUAGUGCCAAUAUUGAGCGUUAUGUUAGAGUAUGCUGAAGUGAUUUGAUUGCAGAAUCUUGUUUCAAUGUUGUCCCACUUGGUCAUGGUUGCCGUGUUACAUUUCUGGGAUGUGGCAACCUGUUCAGUUGUAUUGGCCAACGGCCUCUCGAGGUAAGCACCUGCUCCUGCAGUCCGCACAGUGACACAAACUCCCUGUUUACAUGUACUGCUAUUAGUGCUCCCUGUUUGUCCUUUCCUGCUGCAGCCAUGGGUAAAGUGUGCUUGUGGCCUUCUUUGGCCGUGAUUUGGCGUGAACAGAGACUAUCGUACAUGAUUACAUGGUUUGCAGCGUAUGAAGUUGAUAUCCACAAGGUGGAAAGGCCUGUAAAAGUGGCUGCGAAAUGGUUAUUCCCACAAAACAGACCACAUCCAUAUUGAGAGCAGGUGGGGCACCAAGUGUGAUCGACAAAUUAGCGGCCAUCGAAAGGACAAAAAGAAACGUGCAUGUAAGAAAGGAGGUAACGCUAGGAUGCCAGGUAGUUCAUGUUGCUGUGUUGGCUAUGGCAGCAGGUGCCUGCGUCACCCGAUUGAUUCGCAGUGCAAGUUACAGCGACUGUCAGUGCAAACAGGUGCGGCACUGUCCAAUCUGCUUGUGCUGCUGGUUGUCACUCGUUACUAGACCACCAUGUGCGACGUAGGCAAGCACAGUGCCUGAAAUCGGAUAGCUGAAUGUGCUGUAAGUGACCUGUAGUGCGUGAAUGCCCACUGUUGUCAUGUGGAUCUUAGCCAAUGUACAGUGUAUUGUCUGAACCUUAUGCGGUGAUUGAAUGCAGUCUAAUUUGAUAAUGGUCGCCGUGUUAUGUUUCUUCGAUGUGGUGACCUGGUCAGCUGCACGGGCAACAGUCUCCCGAGGUAACCAUCUGCUCCUGCAGUCCACACAGCGACAAAGACUCCCAAUUUAUAUGCACUGUAAUUGGUGCUCUCCCCAUUCGACAUUUCCUGCUGCAGCCGCCGGCAAAUUAUGCUUGAAGGCCUUCAUCGGCCGUGAUGUGGCGUGAGCGGAGACCAGCACACGUUAUUACAUGGUCCGAAGUUGAUAGCCACAUGGGUGGAAAAGCCUUCUAGUUUGCAUAAUGAAUCCUUACCAACUAGCUCAGCUUUCUGUCGUUCUAAGCCUGCAAAAGUGGCUGCAAAAUUGUGAUGCCCAUAUUGAGAAUGUGGGGCACCAACUAUGAGUUACACAUUAGCGGCCCCUGAAAGAACAAAAAGAAACGUGCAGGCUGGAAAGGCGAGAACGCUCAAAUGCCGUUUAAUCCAUGUUGCUGUGUUGGUUGCGGCAGCAGAUGGCUUGCGUCACCUGAUUGCUUCACAAUGCAAGUUGCGGCGACUGUCGAUGCAAACAGGUGGUGCACUGCCCAAUUUGCUUGCGCUACUGAUUGUUGCUCGUUACCGCGCUACUGAUUGUCGCUCUUUACCAGAUCGCCAUGUGCGACGACGAAAGUGAGCAGUUUACGAGCUCGCGUUAAUGGUUUCAGCGCAUCUCGACAUGCAAAUUUUAUUUCUGAUCUUGUAUGAGAAGGUGCACUGCUAAUAAAGUCGCACGUCCUGUUCACUCA
Long non-coding RNA from Dermacentor albipictus, 3417 nucleotides. RefSeq lists it as uncharacterized. NCBI's taxonomy places the organism in Eukaryota, Metazoa, Arthropoda, Arachnida, Ixodida, Ixodidae. The record is from RefSeq and is a predicted model, not a curated record.